GACGAACGCUGGCGGCGUGCUUAACACAUGCAAGUCGAACGGAAAGGCCCUGCUUUCUUGGGGUGACCGAGUGGCGAACGGGUGCGUAACACGAGAGUAACCUGCUCUUGAUUUUCGGAUAACUUCAGGAAACUGGGGCUAAUCCCGGACAGGAGACCCCGUUGCAUUGUGGGGGUUGGAUCGUUUCGGCGGGCGGGGUUGGAUUAGCGGCUUACGAGCUUGUUGGUGGGGUAGGGGCUUACCAAGGCUUUGACGGAUAGCCGGCCUGAGAGGGGGUCCGGCCACAAGGGGACUGAGAUACGGCGCAGACGCCUACGGGAGGCAGCAGUGGGGAAUAUUGUACAGUGGGCGGGAGCCGGAGGCGGCAGCGCCGCGUGCGUGAUGACGGCCUGCGGGUUGUAAACCGCUGUCGCCUGUGACGAAGCGUGUGUGACGGUAAUGGGUAAAUAAGCACCGGCUAACUACGUG
This 468-nucleotide ribosomal RNA is filed under the name uncultured bacterium. RNAcentral's name for it is "partial 16S ribosomal RNA". It matches the Rfam family "Bacterial small subunit ribosomal RNA", at positions 28 to 507 of the family's 1533-position model. The record is from RNAcentral.